Molecule: transfer RNA, 72 nt
Filed under: Herpetosiphon geysericola
Lineage: Bacteria; Bacillati; Chloroflexota; Chloroflexia; Herpetosiphonales; Herpetosiphonaceae
Rfam family: tRNA
About the family: Transfer RNA (tRNA) molecules are approximately 80 nucleotides in length. Their secondary structure includes four short double-helical elements and three loops (D, anti-codon, and T loops).
Source: Rfam by way of RNAcentral
GGCGACAUAGCCAAGUGGUAAGGCAGUGGUCUGCAAAACCGCGAUCCAUGGGUUCGAAUCCCAUUGUCGCCU